UUCCAGGAAAAGCCUCUAAGCUUCAGAUUGUAAGGAAUCGUACCCCAAACCGACACAGGUGGUCGGGUAGAGAAUACCAAGGCGCUUGAGAGAACUCGGGUGAAGGAACUAGGCAAAAUGGUACCGUAACUUCGGGAGAAGGUACGCUCUCGACGGUGAAGUCCCUCGCGGAUGGAGCUAUUGAGAGUCGCAGAUACCAGGUGGCUGCAACUGUUUAUUAAAAACACAGCACUGUGCAAAAUCGUAAGAUGACGUAUACGGUGUGACGCCUGCCCGGUGCCGGAAGGUUAAUUGAUGGGGUUAGACUUCGGUCGAAGCUCUUGAUCGAAGCCCCGGUAAACGGCGGCCGUAACUAUAACGGUCCUAAGGUAGCGAAAUUCCUUGUCGGGUAAGUUCCGACCUGCACGAAUGGCGUAAUGAUGGCCACGCUGUCUCCACCCGAGACUCAGUGAAAUUGAAAUCGCUGUGAAGAUGCAGUGUACCCGCGGCUAGACGGAAAGACCCCGUGAACCUUUACUACAGCUUGGCACUGAACAUUGACCCUACAUGUGUAGGAUAGGUGGGAGGCUUUGAAGCACGUACGCCAGUAUGUGUGGAGCCGUCCUUGAAAUACCACCCUUGUAGUGUUGAUGUUCUAACGUCGACCCCUUAUCGGGGUUGCGGACAGUGCCUGGUGGGUAGUUUGACUGGGGCGGUCUCCUCCCAAAGAGUAACGGAGGAGCACGAAGGUGGGCUAAUCACGGUUGGACAUCGUGAGGUUAGUGCAAUGGCAUAAGCCCGCUUGACUGCGAGAAUGACAAUUCGAGCAGGUGCGAAAGCAGGUCAUAGUGAUCCGGUGGUUCUGAAUGGAAGGGCCAUCGCUCAACGGAUAAAAGGUACUCCGGGGAUAACAGGCUGAUACCGCCCAAGAGUUCAUAUCGACGGCGGUGUUUGGCACCUCGAUGUCGGCUCAUCACAUCCUGGGGCUGAAGUCGGUCCCAAGGGUAUGGCUGUUCGCCAUUUAAAGUGGUACGCGAGCUGGGUUUAGAACGUCGUGAGACAGUUCGGUCCCUAUCUGCCGUGGGCGUUGGAAGAUUGAAGGGGGCUGCUCCUAGUACGAGAGGACCGGAGUGGACGAACCUCUGGUGUUCGGGUUGUGUCGCCAGACGCAUUGCCCGGUAGCUAAGUUCGGAAUCGAUAACCGCUGAAAGCAUCUAAGCGGGAAGCGAGCCCUGAGAUGAGUCUUCCCUGAUACUUUAAGUAUCCUAAAGGGUUGUCGGAGACUACGACGUUGAUAGGUCAGGUGUGUAAGUGCUGUGAGGCAUUGAGCUAACUGAUACUAAUUGCCCGU
RNAcentral lists this ribosomal RNA (1330 nucleotides) under Vibrio parahaemolyticus. Its description in RNAcentral is "partial 23S ribosomal RNA". It matches the Rfam family "Bacterial large subunit ribosomal RNA", at positions 1606 to 2912 of the family's 2925-position model. Lineage: Bacteria; Pseudomonadati; Pseudomonadota; Gammaproteobacteria; Vibrionales; Vibrionaceae. The record is from RNAcentral.